This is a non-coding RNA of Oncorhynchus mykiss (rainbow trout), 2141 nucleotides long. The record is from RefSeq and is a predicted model, not a curated record. Lineage: Eukaryota; Metazoa; Chordata; Actinopteri; Salmoniformes; Salmonidae.
UUCUGGAACGUACCCAGUGACCGAACCCGGAAGUUUGGGAAUACAGCCAAAAAAGCUGUCGCUGAUCCAGCAAGCUUCAACCAAGGCUCACUAGAUAGCUAACAAACUGUCGUUGUACAUGUAGCUAUCUCGCAUAUUUCUGCGGAUUCAAAAUGGAUGCGGAAACAGAGUGUUGCAAAUGUCACCUCUUGGAUUUGCCCUGGGAGGAUGUGUUGGUAACGCACAUCUUCUGCUACCUGCCAUUACGCCAGCUGGUGCGGCUACAGAGAGUGAGCAAGCAGUUCUAUGCCCUCAUCCAGGUGUACCUGGCCAACUGUCGCACCUUUGACCUCACACAGAUAGGGCCUAGCCUUCCCAAGGAGGCAUUCUGCAACAUACUAAGGGACAACAAAGUCCUACAGAACUUGUCCGUCCAGAACUGCUCCGAUUGGGUGACAGACACGGAGCUGCUGCCUGUGAUUGGCCAGAACCAGCACCUGCUGAGAGUAGACAUGAGGGGAUGUGACCGGCUGACCCGUCACUCCUUAGUAGCGGUGUCGUUGAGCUGCACACACCUGCAGUACCUGGGCCUGGCCCACUGUGAAUGGGUGGACAGCCUGUCCAUACGCAGCCUGGCUGACCACUGUGGGGGCCUGAGGUCCAUCGACCUGACUGCCUGCCGCCAGCUCAAAGACGAGGCCAUCUGCUAUUUAUCCAAGAAGUGUCUGAAGAUGAGGUCGCUGUCUGUGGCGGUCAACGCCAACAUUACAGACGUGUCUGUGGAGGAAGUGGCCAAGAACUGCAGGGAGCUGGAACAGCUGGACCUGACAGGCUGCCUGAGGGUUAGGAACGACUCCAUCAGGACUGUUGCAGAGUACUGCCCCAAGCUGCAGUCUCUGAAGGUGAACCACUGUCACAACGUGACUGAGUCCAGUCUGGACCCCCUGCGGAAGAGGAACGUUGAGAUUGACGUGGAGCCACCACUACAGAGGGCCCUUGUGCUGCUGCAGGAUGUGGUGGGGUUCGCUCCCUUCAUCAACCUCCAGAUCUAGGCUAAAGGACAUCUGUAUUACUCAUCCAACCAAUUGGAAACAGGUAGGCUAGCUAGGCUAAAGGACAUCUGUAUUACUCAUCCAACCAAUUGGAAACAGGUUUUCCUCCACUAGGAGAAUGACCUGUUUCAAUUGAAACACACCCUGUGUAUGCUGGGACAUCAAUUAAGCAAUUCAAGAAACAAACAAAAACGGAUGUAUAUGGGAAAUAUAUUGUGAAACUUGUCUCUUUUAUUUAUUACAGUGAUGUUGCAGAUUAUAAUUAUGCACUUAGGAAAAGACUGAAGGAAGCCGUGCACUUUUCAGUAACGCUGUCACGAGUCCAAAAGAUUCCUGCGGUAUUUAAUUUGUAUCUCAUCACACACUAACAACACUUUAGAUGGUCUUGUGAUCUAUAGCUUUUAAAAAAAGGACCGUUCCAACCAAAGGAGAAGCCGUAACUAUAAGAGCAUAUUGUUGAGUUUUUGUGUGUUUAUUGACAUGUUACUCUGCUAAGUGUACGAUACAUACACCUCUAAAUGUCUCAUACAGAUUAGCUUGGUAAACUUUUAUAUAUUAGGUAAGUAAAUGUUUUAUAUUCGGUAAAUAAACGUUUUAUAUUGUGUGUUUGCAUUGACCUUACAUUGACUGAAACUCUUCUCUUCGUACAAUAUUAUUUUUAAUGGUUAGUUGAGCUGAUCAGUCUUGGCCCAGCCCACCAUUUUGUUAAAAUGUGUCAUUUUAACAUGUUAUAAGACUCUGUAUACCGUGAUCUUGAACUCCUCCUUUUGCCUGUUUACUUCAGGAAAUCUGCUUUUCUAUGUUGAAUGUCUGAAAACAUGUAGGUCUAGUUGUAAAACGACAUUUUAGUUCCAUAAGCUUUCUCAUAUGGUAGGCUAUGAAGAAGGACACGUUUCUGUUUGUAAUAUGUGACUAUUGAAAAACAAUCUCAGUUUUACAUCUGGGAAGAAACAUGAGAGGAACAUGCAGUGUAAAGUCUAUGUUAAUGUGAUCACCCCACGUUGUAUUGUUCCACUGAGGAGUUACAGUAUUGAAACUAGUUGUAUUCCAUGUGUAAUAAGGGACCAUCCAAUCAUGUCUAUCUGAGAAUAUAAAGCACUAUCUAUAACC